UAGUUUUUAGUGUAAUGUGCACGAUAAAUUUUGAUUUUAUAAGAAAUAAAUUUAAUUUAUUAAAACUAA
This 69-nucleotide transfer RNA is filed under the name Ixodes auritulus. Its description in RNAcentral is "tRNA-Gln". The record is from RNAcentral. Lineage: Eukaryota; Metazoa; Arthropoda; Arachnida; Ixodida; Ixodidae.